RNAcentral lists this non-coding RNA (764 nucleotides) under Eterusia aedea. Lineage: Eukaryota; Metazoa; Arthropoda; Insecta; Lepidoptera; Zygaenidae. The record is from RNAcentral.
UUUUUAUGGUUUAAAAAAUUUAUUUUAAAUUUAUUUUACAUAUAAAUUUUGGUGAUAAUUUUAAUGAUUUUAAAAAUAAUUAAUUUAUAUAUGUAGUAAUUAAUAUUAAAAAUUUAAGUAAUUAAGAUUUAGUAAUAUAAAAAUUAAUAACAAAUUUUGUGCCAGCAGUUGCGGUUACACAAAAAUUAAAAUAAAUUUUUUUAGUUAUUAAUAAAUAAUUAUAAAUAUAAUAAUUUAAAUUUUAAUUUAUUAAGUGAAAUUUUAAUUUAAUUAAAAAUUAUUUUUAUGAAAUUAAUAAAUUUUAUUUAUAAACUAGGAUUAGAUACCCUAUUAUUAAAAAAUUAAAAUUAUAUACUAAAAUAUUAGAUUUUUAUUGAAACUUAAAUAAUUUGGCGGUAUUUUAGUUCAUUUAGAGGAAUCUGUCUAAUAAUUGAUAAUCCACGAAUAAUUUUACUUAAUUUAUUAUUUUGUAUAUCGUUGUUAAAAAAAUAUUUUUAAAUAAUAAAUAAUAUUUUAAAAUUUAAAUAAAAAAUUAAAUCAAAUCAAGAUGCAGAUUAUAAUUAAGAAUAUGAUGGAUUACAAUAAAUUAAUUUAGGAGGAAAUUAAUAUGAAAAAUUAAUUGAAAAUGGAUUUAAAUGUAAUUUUUUUUUAGUUUAUAAAAAUGAUUUAUAAUUAAAAUAUGUACAUAUUGCCCGUCGCUUUCAUUUGAAAAUUGAAAUAAGUCGUAACAAAGUAGAGGUACUGGAAAGUGUUUCUAGAAAGAA